GAUUCUAUAGUAUAAAAUAACAUUAAAUUGCAAGUUUAAAGAUGUGUAAAAUCACUAGAAUUU
This 63-nucleotide transfer RNA is filed under the name Macrophthalmus pacificus. RNAcentral describes it as "tRNA-Cys". Lineage: Eukaryota; Metazoa; Arthropoda; Malacostraca; Decapoda; Macrophthalmidae. The record is from RNAcentral.